GACGGGGGAUGCAAGCGUUAUCCGGAAUCACUGGGCGUAAAGCGUCUGUAGGUGGUGAUGCAAGUCACUGGUGCAAAACUCUGGCUCAACCGGAGGAAAGCCAGUGAAACUGCAUGACUAGAGUGUGGGAGAGGUAGAAGGAAUUCCCUGAGUAGCGGUGAAAUGCGUAGAUACAGGGAAGAACACCGGCGGCGAAAGCGUUCUCCGGGAACACAACUGACACUGAGAGACGAAAGCUAGGGGAGCGAAUGGG
Molecule: ribosomal RNA, 253 nt
Filed under: uncultured bacterium
Lineage: Bacteria
Description: partial 16S ribosomal RNA
Rfam family: Bacterial small subunit ribosomal RNA
Source: RNAcentral